UGACGUUACGUCAUAUGCACAGGCGACGUGCUUGAAAAUGUGCAUAGUCUACGUUUCACUUUCAUUUCAGGAUUGCUGGAACUUCACGAAGAGUUCUAGAUGCGUUCUGGAAAAGCACAUAUUUUUGCUCUUCAGAAAUUAUCUGCGUAUUCGGGCAUCAUUUAAGUAUGUCCGUUCGUAACAACAGUUCCCAAAUGGAAGCUGCCAUGCAGCAUGGCGACGCCAGGGCUCAGGGGGUUAAACGCCACCCAAACGGAGAGGUCCCUGUUGGAAACCUGCUCAACAUUGACAAAACUUCGGUCACCAAAUCACUGCACAGUGACAAAGGGAGAGAAAGGGAUGGAGAAGGGGAGAAAGAGGGGGAUGGAAAGGCGGUUGGAGGAGGGGACGCAAAUAAAGGGAAGGAUAGAGGAAGGAAAAGAGACACGGAGGGAGCGAGGGGUGAGGAGGAGAAGAGGUCGUACUGCUCUCAGAAGCUGAAGAAAGUCCCUCAGUGUCACAUGGAGCUGGAGCAGCUGUCCUUCAGCAGAACUCACAACAUCCUCAUAGAUGUGAAUGAGUUCCACCAUAAAGGGUCAUUAAAACCUCAUUCUGGACAUCAUGUGUGGCACAGUGACUUUGUUAAGAUGCCCUGCUCACCAGAAAGCCUCAUCAUGACUGGAUGGGUAACCAGCUCUGAGCGAAGUCGGUGGGAGGUGGUCUCUAAACAGCUGGAGAGUCUGGCCAAGAAGACCACUGCAUCAGUGGGUGACGUAGAGAAAGCCAUAAAGAAAUACAACCCAAAGUAUGAAGCUCAAUGGUCCUUUGAUGCCCUGCAUACCUUUGUUCAGCAAUCACCCAAAGAAGAGAAAUACUACACAUCUGUUUUUCCUAAGAUAGCAAAGCUGGCUUCCAGCCUGCCUCACUAUAUCAAGAAGGCUAUCCCUCUGCUCCAGAAGGACAAGACUCAGUCCAUCACGUUGUCCCAGAUUCAGAUAGCUUGUCUGCUGGCCAACGCCUUCUACUGCACCUUCCCCCACCGCAACUCCCCCAACCCCAGAGCAGAGUACCAUAACUACCCCACCAUCAACUUUAACAGUCUGUUUGAAAAGUGGUCUGAGAGGAAGAGAGAGAAGCUGAGAGCCCUCCUUCAUUACUUCCACACUGUCACAGACCCAGCAACCAGGCCCUGUGGACUGGUGACCUUUGAGAGGCGCUACAUCAGAGACAUGCCCAACUGGAGGAGUUGUAAGGAGACUGUUCCUGAACUCCACGUCUCCUCAGUAGGCUUCAUAGAGGAACAGGGAGCAGGGAUGUUACAGGUGGACUUUGCCUGUAACAUGAUAGGAGGUGGAGUGUUGGGCUCAGGUCUGGUUCAGGAGGAGAUUCUCUUCCUGAUGAACCCUGAACUCAUCGUAUCUCGACUCUUCACUGAGAAACUAGGAGACAAUGAGUGUCUCUUCAUCACAGGUUCUCAACAGUUCAGUCAGUACAGUGGCUACAGCGACACUUUUAAGUGGGUAGGGCCUCACAGAGACGACUUUGAGAGGGAUGAGUGGCAGAGGCUACACAGGCAGAUUGUGGCCAUGGAUGCUCUCCACUUCAGACACCAGAGAGAACAGUACAACAUGAAACAGGUCACCAGGGAACUCAACAAGGCGUAUUGUGGCUUUAAGGCAGAUGACAACACUUACCCAGACUUCCUUCCUGACAUCGCCACUGGCAACUGGGGCUGCGGAGCCUUCAAUGGAGACCCCAAACUUAAAGCUCUGAUCCAGCUGAUGGCUGCAGCCAAGGCCAAGAGGGGCGUGGCCUUCUUCACAUUCAAGAACUCCAGCUUGGAGAGAGAGCUGCAGAACAUGCACCACCUACUGGUCACACACAGAACUACAGUGGCGUUCUGCAAAUGCAGCAGUGGAUGACAGUGAGAGUAUCUUUACUGAGCUGAUCCGCUCCAUGGAGGAAAGGCGCUCUGAGGUGAAGGAGCUGAUCAGAGCCCAGGAGAAGGCUGAAGUGAGUCGAGCUGAAGGUCUACUGGAGCAACUGGAACAGGAGAUAGUUGAGCUGAGGAGGAAAGAUGCUGAGCUGGAGCAACUCUCACACACAGAGGAUCACAUCCAUUUCCUUCAGUGUGUUUUGUAGCCUUAAAGCGAGUUUACCCAGGAUUGGAUCCACUCUGUGCGUCUGUGGACUACAACUCUCCGUUGGUUUUCGUGGCCUUUUCUCCGCUGGAGAUCUGUUGGCGGAUUGUCUGACUGACCGACUGACUACAACUUUUAAUACACGGUAUUUCAUUUGUUUGGGGUGAUGUAUACUGUGAUUUAUGUAGUUGUGAGGAUGUAUUAUUCUUUGGUUAGUCUUUGAUACGCUUUAUAGUUGUGUUGCAAAAUAAGUGUUAUUUUGAGUGUAUGAAUAUAGUGGGUUUACGCUAUGGACAAACGUUGCGUGACUAAGGUCACUUGAGUCACUGAACUUAUUUACCGGGCUGGACUCUUUUUAUGCCCGAGGUACAGGACAUUUCUAAAUGAACAUAAGUGCAUUAAUUGUUAUAUUGUUGGGUGUGAUCAUUUAUGUUGUUAAUACAACCACGCAAAAGAAUACACUUGUUUGAAGUUCUUUCCAAUGUUUUAAGGGGUUUAUGAAAAGUAUAUUUUCAUCCUUACUUUUACAUAAGUCCUUUGUAUUGGUGUGACUUGACGGACCAGAUGGGACUCAUUCCCUCCCAAACUAAAAGGAGAAACCAAUGCUUUCUCUGGUAGGCUCAACCUACCUGGCACCCCUAUAAAUAACCUCAAGUCAAAACCGUUACAAUGUGGCCUUAUACUGUCUUGUUACAUUAUGAAAUGUAAUAUCUUAUUACAGGUUACACUGAAUUAGAGCUAGAAGUGACCCUUCUUAUAAUCCAGUGAUGUCAAUCUUUGUUUAUUGGUAAACUAAACUGAGCAUUGUGGAGCCCUGUAUUGUGGCUGAGCGCUGACACACACAAGAUAUGUUUUGAAUACGUUAUUAAUAAUGUCAAAUAUUACAUUAGAUUCCUGAAAAGCAUUUUCAGGCCCUCACGUUGAAAACAGAAAAUGUAGAGAAUUAACGUGUUAUUUUUUUAGACUUAUUUUCAGCACCUUUGUUUUUUUAAUGUAUUUUC
Molecule: RNA transcript, 3121 nt
Organism: Salvelinus fontinalis (brook trout)
Lineage: Eukaryota; Metazoa; Chordata; Actinopteri; Salmoniformes; Salmonidae
Gene: pargl
Gene name: poly (ADP-ribose) glycohydrolase, like
Exons: 17
Source: RefSeq, a predicted model, not a curated record